This is a long non-coding RNA of Zalophus californianus (California sea lion), 1204 nucleotides long. RefSeq lists it as uncharacterized. Lineage: Eukaryota; Metazoa; Chordata; Mammalia; Carnivora; Otariidae. The record is from RefSeq and is a predicted model, not a curated record. The transcript is spliced from 6 exons.
CAGUCCUUUCAGCAAUGAAAGUUCCUUUAUUUGUCCAGCACGAAAGGGCCAAAGAGACAGGUUUAUCCUCCCACCCAACGGUCCUUUUCUGAGACAGUUCAUCAGAAACAUGGAGAACAGAGCUUUGCUCGGGAAGGAAGGUUCAGAAAACAAAUCGUCUGUAAACUAUUGGGCAGGACUUGCCUCUUCCAAAGCUAAAAAUGCAUGAACAUCCAGAGAUGCACAUGUCUGUCAGGAACUAGAAUGCUGAGGAAUGGAAACACAUGGAAACAUUCACCUAUUAUACAAGGAUAACUUUAGCUGUGACCUGGAAUAUAUUGUCUAAGAGCUCUGUAAAGGUGAAGAAAGAUGAUCUUCUUUGGAACUUGGGCUUGUACGUGUUUAUAGAAGCCUAUUUGUGAGUCUGCCUUGGUCAUCAGGCAAAAUGCCUUAUUUCUUUCCUCGUUGUUUACAAAACCAAGGACCCAGGCUGCUGGAUAUUUACACUGUUGUCUGUCAAAGCGUUCACUGGGAGAGGAGAUAAGCAAGUCAUCUGCCAAAAAUAUUGUGGCUUGCAAAUUAUGGGCGCACAUAAGAAAGGUCACUGCAUUACCCAGUCGUCUUAGCCCACUGCACGGUGACAUCUCAGGUAUGAAAGGGCUGGAGCAAAGUCUGAGUUGGAUCCUCCUGAUAACACCAAGAAGAGUGUCUCCCCUUUUCCCAAGAACUAGGGAGUAUACUUAACCAGACAAGGAUAAAGUUCCGGAUGUGGAGGGUAACAAAAAUGGACCCAGCCACUGAUAGGAGCUGCUCAUUUCAUCUAAAGUAAUCUGUUGUUUUCUGUGCUCUGAAGGUGGUGACCUCAGUGUCCACAAUGGGACGUCCGUGAGUGUUUGUUAGGUUUGCGACCGAGUGCUCCAAGCCGGUGGAUAGUGUUUCUUCUUCUGGUAGGCCAGGGAAACAUUGAGAUUACUUCAGCAAAAAAUAACUUUUCGGCCAAUCUGUAUCAUCACUCAGAGAUGCAGCCGGUCAAGUUAACAAAGAAAACAGAUAUUUAGUCGUGAAGAAGCUUGGUUAAACUUUUGCUUAUCUUUUUAUACCUUGGUAUGGUCAUAUGGAAAUAGGUUAUUGCUUCACACUACUUGGCACCUGCUCUGCAAUUGUUUUUGUACUCAUUUGCCUGCUCUAUGAGAUCGUAAGCUUCAUGAGGACAGUUUUUUUUUCA